Molecule: RNA transcript, 2200 nt
Organism: Quercus lobata
Lineage: Eukaryota; Viridiplantae; Streptophyta; Magnoliopsida; Fagales; Fagaceae
Gene name: Pseudouridine synthase family protein
Exons: 11
Source: RefSeq, a predicted model, not a curated record
UACCUCACUCUCAGAGACAAACAGACACACUUCACACUUCCCAGGAUUUCCAUGAAGAUGGGCUCAGUAACAAUGAGUUUCGCUUCAAUCUUAGCCAAUGGCUGCAGAAGUAUAAGUCCUCCUCCUGUGACCCUUGUGCGCACGUUAGCCACCACCCAUGUUGCUCUCAGCAAGAAGCACCAUAACAAGCACUUGGUGGCUGCUUGGUCUUCUGGGUGUUCAAAUAUUAGUGCCUUUGCAUGUGAAUCCUCAAAGUCAGAUGUUAUACACGCUGCUGCUACUACUUCUGUUAAUGGCUACCCUGAAUAUCAUCGGCUACUUCCAUGUCCCUCGGACAAUGGCCCGCCAAGAAUCGAACACUUGGUUGUCUCAAAAGGUGGGCCUGUUCAAGAAUAUAUCUGUAAAGCUCUGGAUCUUCCUGCGCUGUUUGUUGCAGAUCUCAUCCAUUUUGGAGCUGUAUAUUAUGCCCUUGUAUGUCCAAAGCCUCCUCCAAGUGCCACUGAAGAGCAAAUUAGGAUAUUUAAAGAAUUUACAGCUCCAUCAGUUCUGAGAAAAAGAGUUUCCAUCAAAGGGAAAACAAUACGAGAAGCACAGAAAACUUUUAGGAUAACUCAUGUAGAUCAGUUUGUUGAAGCUGGAACAUACUUACGAGUGCAUGUACACCCAAAACGCUUCCCAAGGUGCUAUGAAAUUGACUGGAAAUCAAGAAUUAUAGCUGUGUCUGAGUCCUAUGUGGUUUUGGACAAGCCUGCCGGUACAUCAGUUGGAGGAACUACAGACAACAUAGAAGAAAGUUGCGCAACUUUUGCCACUCGUGCCUUGGGUUUUACAACCCCUUUGAAGACUACCCACCAGAUUGAUAAUUGCACAGAAGGCUGUGUUGUGUUGGCUAGGACCAAGGAGUAUUGCUCUGUUUUUCAUGGUAAAAUUAGAGAGAAAAAGGUGAAGAAGCUUUAUCUUGCUCUUGCUGCUGCUCCGGUGCCAAUAGGAAUAAUUGCCCACUACAUGCGUCCAGUUAACAUGGCUCCAAGACUCAUUUCAGAAGAUUUUAUUAAAGGAUGGAACUUAUGUCAACUUGAGGUCUUGGAAUGCAAGGAGGUUCCAUGGCCAAAUGCUGUCAUUGAAAAGAAAUAUUGUGUGGAGGAUUGUGGCUGGCCCUCCCAGCAUAUUGCAUAUGAGUGUAAAAUCAACCUUCUGACUGGUCGGACUCAUCAGAUUCGAGCACAGCUGGCUGCCUGCAGUGCACCAUUGGUGGGUGACUCAAUGUACUUGCCAGCUGCAAUUGCAGAGAUGAGAAGUCCUGGGCUUAACCCAUUUGGCAGAUACAAGCAAAAUUAUACUAGUGAGACUGAUGAAGCAAAGGCUGUUACAGAGUGGAUUGAACAACAUGGAAAAGAACCAAAUGUUGUUAUUGGUCUUCAAGCUUGUCAGAUUUCAUGGGAUGAUGGUGAACACAUGUAUGAGGCUGGGUCUCCUUGGUGGAGAUGUGAAAUUGCUUAGAAUAGGUACUUGAAGAUAUGGAUCAACUGCAGCAUUCCGUUAACUUUUAAGCUAAAGUUGAGGUAUGUAUUAUUGAAGGCAUGACUCAAUUCAAGGAAGGAUGAAAUCUAAAUGGCCCAUGUGUGGCAUGAUCAACGUGGUGAAGUCCAAAUCUUACUGUAUAUCCAAAUAUCCACUCGAAGUUGUCAAGCAAGGACCAAGCGAAGUAACCCCUCACAUCUGCUCCUUUUCUGAUCACAUAUAAAAAGGAAAAUGGAAAAAUAAAUAUGAAGUUGUCUCAAAAUCUCUUCAGCUCUAUGAAUGAGCUUCUCCAGCUAUUUAAUAUGUGAAAGUUAUCCCUGGAACUAAAUCAGGUCCCUUUUGGAGCUGGUUUUCUGUCUUAAUGAAUUGUCUAAACCAUAUGUGCUACAAAAAAAUAUAGUUACAUGUAGGCUGGUGUAAUGAUCUUUUUAGUCAACAUUAGAAUUUGUAAGAUAAGAAAAUGAUAGGCCAUGAUUCUGUUACUUAUACUUGAUGGCACAGCAUGUUGGCAUGUUCAUUACCUUAUUGCCACCGAUAGUGCAUCUAGAUAGCCAGCUAUGUAGUUCGCUCUUCUGACAUCAUGGAGGAAAUCUUCAAUGGUGGAAUUUGGAUUGUAGACUUCGCCAUACCCUAUGGAGAGCAAUUACAUUUACUUUUAAAAUAUGUAAAGGAAUUUUUA